UGUAAUUACGGUAAAUUCAAGAUUGCCGCCUAAUUUUAAGCGCUAUUCUGUGCUGUGGGUAGAAAGGAGACAUCGAGGCAGUAAAGCACGAUGACAAGAUUAUUACGAGGACUUUUGAGAAACAGUCGGCGCCCCGACACUACAGAAAACAAAAGAAAAGCUGUGAAAUGGAUGUGUAAAUGGGGACUAUUGAAAAGCAAUAUAACCUGCGCAAGAUGCAAUGGCAAGAUGCAUCUGAAGAAAUCUAGAUGCAGCGAUGGAUUUCGCAGGGUCUGUAAUCGUCAUAAAAACCACCUGCUGUCAGUACGACAUGGAACAAUAUUCUCAAAAUCCCACAUUCCUUUGGCAAAAUGGCUCGAAUUCAUACACAGGUUUGCACAAGGUUUGCGGUUGAAACAACUGGACAUGAUCUGUGAUGGUAUAGCAGCAAGCUCAAGGACAUUGUCCAGAAUGACCCAAAAACUCAGAGAGGUUUGCGUGGCUGCCGUCAAACGCCUCAGGAAGAGAGGGAUGAGGAUUGGAGGUC
Long non-coding RNA from Gadus chalcogrammus (walleye pollock), 526 nucleotides. RefSeq lists it as uncharacterized. The record is from RefSeq and is a predicted model, not a curated record. The transcript has 4 exons. Lineage: Eukaryota; Metazoa; Chordata; Actinopteri; Gadiformes; Gadidae.